UCACCUAUCUCCCCCCUUCCCCUCUAUUUGUUUCAUAUCUACAUGUCUUCAGCCAUAUAGCACAAUUUGUUGAUUAGGUAAAAGUGAAAAUGUUAUCCCAAGGCUUUAAUUAUCAACGUGGCAUUAUUUUGAAAUGAGAUUUUAAAAGAUGAGCUACCUAUUUUUUUCCUAGCCAUAAAAUGAAGCAGGUUGAAAAAUAACAAAUAAUACCCAGGCAGUAUAAUUAUAAAACUAAGUCAAAUUACUUUGAACACAAUGUGUCAUCUAAUUAGUAGCUUCGUGUAAAAAUAAAAUGUAUUGAAAGAACUGAAU
This is a non-coding RNA of Biomphalaria pfeifferi, 312 nucleotides long. NCBI's taxonomy places the organism in Eukaryota, Metazoa, Mollusca, Gastropoda, Planorbidae. The record is from the annotation of a GenBank genome assembly.